UUGACGGGGACCCGCACAAGCGGUGGAUGAUGUGGAUUAAUUCGAUGCAACGCGAAAAACCUUACCUACCCUUGACAUGUCCGGAAUCCCGAAGAGAUUUGGGAGUGCUCGCAAGAGAGCCGGAACACAGGUGCUGCAUGGCUGUCGUCAGCUCGUGUCGUGAGAUGUUGGGUUAAGUCCCGCAACGAGCGCAACCCUUGUCAUUAGUUGCCAUCAUUUGGUUGGGCACUCUAAUGAGACUGCCGGUGUACAAACCGGAGGAAGGUGGGGAUGACGUCAAGUCCUCAUGGCCCUUAUGGGUAGGGCUUCACACGUCAUACAAUGGUCGGUACAGAGGGUUGCCAACCCGCGAGGGGGAGCUAAUCCCACAAAGCCGAUCGUAGUCCGGAUCGCAGUCUGCAACUCGACUGCGUGAAGUCGGAAUCGCUAGUAAUCGUGGAUCAGCAUGUCACGGUGAAUACGUUCCCGGGUCUU
Molecule: ribosomal RNA, 474 nt
Filed under: uncultured Rhodocyclaceae bacterium
Lineage: Bacteria; Pseudomonadati; Pseudomonadota; Betaproteobacteria; Rhodocyclales; Rhodocyclaceae
Description: bacterial SSU rRNA
Rfam family: Bacterial small subunit ribosomal RNA
Source: RNAcentral